Raphanus sativus (radish) is the source of this 103-nucleotide small nuclear RNA. The record is from RefSeq and is a predicted model, not a curated record. Lineage: Eukaryota; Viridiplantae; Streptophyta; Magnoliopsida; Brassicales; Brassicaceae.
GUCCCUUUGGAGACAUCCGAUAAAAUUGGAACGAUACAUAGAAGAUUAGCAUGACUACUGUGCAAAGAUGAUACGCACAAAUCGAAAAAUGGUCCAAAUUUUU